UCGGGUGACAGGGAGACAGGUGGUGCAUGGUUGUCGUCAGCUCGUGUCGUGAGAUGUUCGGUUAAGUCCGCUAACGAGCGCAACCCUCGCUGUGUGUUAUAUGUGUCACACGGGACUGCCGGUCUUAAGCCGGAGGAAGGUGGGGAUGAUGUCAAGUCAGCAUGGCCUUUAUAUCCUGGGCUACACACACGCUACAAUGGCCAACACAAUAGGUUGCUAAGCCGCGAGGUGGCGCCAAUCCAUAAAGUUGGUCUCAGUUCAGAUUGUAGGCUGCAACCCGCCUGCAUGAAGAUGGAGUUGCUAGUAACCGCAGGUCAGCUAUACUGCGGUGAAUACGUUCCCGGGGCUU
Molecule: ribosomal RNA, 349 nt
Filed under: uncultured Leptolinea sp.
Lineage: Bacteria; Bacillati; Chloroflexota; Anaerolineae; Anaerolineales; Anaerolineaceae
Description: bacterial SSU rRNA
Rfam family: Bacterial small subunit ribosomal RNA
Source: RNAcentral